RNAcentral lists this ribosomal RNA (498 nucleotides) under uncultured bacterium. RNAcentral's name for it is "partial 16S ribosomal RNA". It matches the Rfam family "Bacterial small subunit ribosomal RNA", at positions 30 to 523 of the family's 1533-position model. The record is from RNAcentral.
AUUGAACGCUGGCGGCAUGCCUUACACAUGCAAGUCGAACGGUAACAGGUCUUCGGAUGCUGACGAGUGGCGAACGGGUGAGUAAUACAUCGGAACGUGCCCGAUCGUGGGGGAUAACGGAGCGAAAGCUUUGCUAAUACCGCAUACGCUCUACGGAUGAAAGCAGGGGACCGCAAGGCCUUGCGCGGACGGAGCGGCCGAUGGCAGAUUAGGCAGUUGCUGGGAUAAAAGCUUACCAAGCCGACGAUCUGUAGCUGGUCUGGGAGGACGACCAGCCACACGGGGACUGAGACACGGCCCAGACUCCUACGGGAGGCAGCAGUGGGGAAUUUUGGACAAUGGGCGAAAGCCUGAUCCAGCCAUGCCGCGUGCAGGAUGAAGGCCUUCGGGUUGUAAACUGCUUUUGUACGGAACGAAAAGACUCCUUCUAAUAAAGGGGGUCCAUGACGGUACCGUAAGAAUAAGCACCGGCUAACUACGUGCCAGCCGCCGCCGUAA